RNAcentral lists this long non-coding RNA (16184 nucleotides) under Triticum aestivum (bread wheat). Its description in RNAcentral is "long non-coding RNA (TAES_LNC011035)". The record is from RNAcentral. Lineage: Eukaryota; Viridiplantae; Streptophyta; Magnoliopsida; Poales; Poaceae.
UCGAAGUAAUAUCAACAAAAUAGAUGGCCUUAUAGAAGUCGUCAAUAAUGGAUGAGUAGAGUAAAACAAUGCAUUUUUCUGUAAACAUGUUGAGAAAGCCAUACUCGUAAUUACAAACAUUUGAUCUUAAAGAUACACUUAGUAAGAUGAAAUGGGUUCAUUACUUUCUAUUGGUAAACAAAUACUAAAUCCUAAUAAACAGGUAGUUUGCUUUCAUCCCCUAGAACCGAGUCACAAACAGCAGAGCAGUUGUGAAUAGUAUUCUCUAAUGGUAAUAUUUUUGUACAAAAGAAAUAACCGCACGGAUAAUGCAUGGUGAGAAAAGGUUACCAUAUAUAAGAACAUGAUUGAUUGAUCAUAUGUCGACGAUUUAUAGCACUGUUUUAAAAAGGAAGGAACCAUAGUCAAUGUAACCUGAGUACAAUAAAUAGCAUGUCACUUAACAAAACAUUCGAGAAAAAUAAGCAAAUAGCAUGCUUCUUUGCAUAUAAAGCAUUAUGUUUGAAUUAAAAGGAGAUGAUGAUUAAGGGCCUGCCAUCACAAUGAAAUACCAGUGAAGAGUGAAGACAAAUUGACUUGUUUUUUCUUUGAUAUAUGAAUGAUGGGAAGAAGUCGUAAUGGUCAAAUACCGGUUAACAAUUUUGUAUAGUGCAAUAAUUCAUUUUCCUCCCGUCCUUCAAUAAGGUCCCACAACUGAUUGCCAUUGUGAAGUUGUCCUCUAAAUUUAGGGUAUUCUGAUACAUCAUAUUGAUUAAUAUUUAGGCGUGUCAAACAUAUUGCACACUGUACCAAACAAUUCGACUAUAUACCUCAUUCAAAAACUGCAGAUUUACCGACUGACGAGAUGCAAGUGAAAGACGAUUUGUUGCGCACCCCUGAGUGAGCUGAGAACUUAAAUCAAAUCAAACACAAGGUUUUAAGUAAUUUACUACUACUGAUUUCUGAAACAAAAACUCUGUGCACUGCUACAGGCAAUAAAGUAAGUUGCCAAAAUUAAAUCUUGGUGUGAGAUUUUUUGUUACACUAACUUUUUGCAAGAACAUAUCAUACAUGUAUCAAUGCAUUAUCAGCGCAUCUACCUCCUUGACCUCCUCUUCCGUGAGCAUCACAUCGCUAUUCUAGUGCAUUCUUUAGGCUCUCAACAUCUAAUAGUGAAAAGGAAAUCAAAUACAUGAAUGAAAUUUUUAGCAAGCAUGAGAAACAAAAUCCAAUACAAAAUAGUACCUUUGUCACAUCCUAGCUAGUCCAUGCAUUAGUGUGUGCAUCAUGUUUAAAUUUCAUUUGAAUUUGAAAUGGGGAAGGACAGAACCCCCAGCCCCCUCUGAAACCAAUUAGGGUUUACUAAAAACUUUUUCAAUGAACCUGAAAUGCCCUUCUAAAAUGCCCAUCAUUUUUGUCUUGGUUCAGAACCUCUGCCAGAAGUGAUGCACAUUUUCCUAGGUCAUCCUAAGGUCUUUGGAUUAAAUCAUAAAUAUUUGAAUUUGGGCAUUUUAAAUUUAUAAAAUAUUUCAAAUGCUCAAAUAUCUCCAAACUAAAAUGUUUCAUGUUGGAAAUAAUCCAACUAUGGACCAGGAGUAUUUUGGUGAUUUUAGGAGUGGCCUAGGUAUUUUUAAUAAUUCAACAAACUUACAGAAUAAAUAAAAAAACAGAAAACAGGGAAUAACAGAAAACUUACCUGGCGCCCAGCACCCGGCCCACCUGCCGGCCCAGCCCAGCGCCGCGCCAGCGAGCUGCUUGCCGGCCAGGCAGGCAGGCAGGUGCCCGACGGCGGCCGCAGCGUGCGCCACGCAGCUGGCCGUCGCCCUGCUUCACCUCCUCGCCUCGUUGCUGGUUGGAUGAACUCCACGUCGAGCCGUGAACCCCCAGGACACCUCCAUUCUCCCCCAACUCCUCUCUCUCGCGUUCCCCCGCCAUGGCCGACGCCAUCGCCGCCACCCCCUCGCCGUAGCCACGCCCUCCGUCAACCCAACGCCGCGCCACCGUGUCUAGGAGCUCCGCCACCCUCCUCUCCUUCGAGCAAGCCGAGCACCGAGCGCUCGCAAGGCCCGAGUCCACCGCAUCGACUCGACCGAACCGCCGUCGCUGGAGAUCCCCUUCAACACCGUCGUCGCUCCGGCCCGUCCCCGGCCGCACCAAGUGUUUCGUCGAACUCCCUGUGAGCUUAACCAUCUUCCCCUCACUCCUUUUCUUGCCCCCGAGCUAUGUAGUGACCUCCCGGAGCUCAACCGCACCCACCACCGCGGAGCUCGUCGCCGACGUGCUCCCGGUCACCCUCCGGCCACCACUUGGUGUCCAUCGUGCUCACCACGUCACGUAGCACCUAGCCAACUACUCCCCGCACCUCACCGACCCCUCUAGCCUCAAGUUCGUCUUCGGCCGAACUCCGGUGGCCGCCAAAGUCGCCGCCGGCGCCAACUCCGGCCACCCCGACCCCAACGGACUCCACCAAGAGCUGCGGCUCGUCCUCAGCUCCACUCCGAUGGCCUCCGCGACCCAUUUAGUGGCCGGAACGGCCAAACUCACUUCCGCCGCCGCGUCGGGCUCGCCGGCGGCUAAACGCCGGUGCAGCCGACGUUGACUUCGACCACGGUGGGCCCUGGUUGACUCCGAUGAGUCAAUGACAGGUGGGGCCCAGCCCUGUUAACUAAAUAGGUUUAGUUUUAAUUAAACUUUAGUUAAACUAAUUACCCUGACACCCUGGACCUACAGUCAGGUUUGACCUGGACGUCUCCGUUGACCCUGACGUCAUUCUGACGCAUGGCUGACGCAAUAAAUUAAUUUCUGGAUUUAUUCUAAUAUAGGAAAUUCCAGAAUAUAGUUUAAACUUCAAAAAUUCAUAACUUUUAAUCUGUAACUCCAAAUCAAACAAGUUAUAUAUGAAAAAUGAUCAGAAAAAUCCAAUCUAUCCAUCUGUACUAGUUUCAUGCAUGUUUAAGCAAGCUAACCUGAUGUUUAGUGCAGAACAAGAUAAAACACUUUAAAGGGCCAUGUAUGAGUUUGAAAUUUGAAUCUUUGGUUCAAAUUGGUUCAAACCCUUCUGGUCUUAGUUGCAUUAGCCCAACACACUCAUAUUGCCAUGUUUCAUGCAUGCAUCAUAUUGUCGCAUAUUGUUUGGUGAUGGUUGUGUAUCGGUGUUCUUUGCGGCAGGUUCUGCCUCCGAGGAGUACCGUGAUUACCCUAGCGAAGAGCCGUAUCCGUGCAUCGAUCCAUCAGGCAAGCAACCAACCAGUUGAUCAUAUCGAUACAAUCCCAUGUUCUCGCUUCUGCUCUCUUUUACUGCAUUAAGACAACGCGUUUCAAACUGCUGUGUGCUACGGUAGUUGAACCCAUUUCCUCUGCAUGACCUGUCAUUGCCACAGUAACUAGAUGAAACCCACUAGCAUGUGUAGGAGUUGUUUGAGCCAUAUGUAUGUGUUGUUCCUACCUUGCUAUGCCUGCUAUGCUUAGAGUCGUGUCAGGUCUGGUUCAUCUGGGUGAUGGGCUAGAGUGAAAUGUUCAUGUCAGUAUGGGAGUGGUAUGUUGAACACGAUUUGGUAAAGGUAUCGAUGAGAGGCCAUGUAGGAGUACAUGGUGGGUUGUUUCAUUGAAGCCGUCCUUAAGCACUGAGAUCUGUAUGUGUGAUUUAAGAUUCAGCUACUACCAUGCAUUGGGCCCGAAACCAAUGGACCCUCUCGGCUUCUUAUUGACCCUAGUUCUCUAUCCAGGAGUUGCAAGUAGUUUCUGGUGUUUGUAGCCUACUGGAGGCCGUGGACAGCGCUGACCGUAGGGGUGGGCUGUGAUGCGGUAGGUACGUGGCACGGUGUACCGGAUACCCGUUAGGUAUCUCGGGAACCCUGUACACAUCGUUCGGGGCCGUAUGGGAAACCUCGGCCGGACUCCCUGCGGAUGGAACCUGGAUAGGCGAUAAACCUGGAUUAGAGACUUAGGUGAUUAGGUAGGUCGUGGCCGACACCCACGUUGGGCUUCCGCUUGAAGGUUACCGAGUACAUGUCGUGUAAACGACGGUAAGUGGUGAGAGCGUGUAUGAAGAAGUACACACCUGCAGGGUUAACAUGAUCUAUUCGAAUAGCCGCGUCCGCGGUAAAGGACUACUUGGUUGCCUAUACAGUUCAUAGACAAGUAAAUGGAAACUACUAAAAGCCUCAAGAUAAGUGUGAGUGCCGAGGAUGGCUCUUCCGUAGGAAGACGGAGGUGGAUCCUCGGUAGUGUAUUGAAGUGGUGAGUAGUGGACUCGUGUGCGCAAAACCAUUUCAAGUUGGAGUCUCGUAGGAUAGCCUAGCCAAGAGUCAAAGCUGGCUUGCUGCAAUAACUCCACCAACCCUUCUUGAUAAUGUGCAUGUAUGUAGGGUCUGAUGUAAGUCUUGCUGAGUACCUUUGUACUCAUAUUGCUAUAAUUUACAUUUUUACAGAAGACGCUGCAACCCCUUCUGAUGGGUUCUUCGUAGAUGUUGACAUCAAUGAGUAGGCUAAGGCCCAGGUGGUGAUCCUGAGCUUGUGAAGGACCACGUAGUAUAGUUAGGCUUUCCAAGCCUCUUUUAUUUUACUAGUUGUCUGUACUCAGACAAGUUACUUCCGCUGCUGGUUUGUAUGACUGUAUGACGUGAAUGCUGGGUCGUGUGACCCGUACUUAUGUGUAUGUUAUGUAUGGCUCUCUGAGCCUUAAAUAAAGUACUUGUGUCGUAGAAUCAUGUUGUGAUGCCUUGUUGUAUUUGCAAAUAUCGAGCAUAUUGUGUGUAUGAUUGAAAUGCUUGGUAUGUGUGGGAUCUGACUAUCUAGUUGUUUAUCUUUAGUAGCCUCUCUUACCGGGAAAUGUCUCCUAGUGUUACCACUGAGCCAUGGUAGCUUGCUACUGCUCCGGAACACUUAGGCUGGCCGGCAUGUGUCCUUCUUCGUUCCUGUGUCUGUCCCUUUGGGGAAAUGUCACGCAUUGAGUACCGGAGUCCUGCUAGCCCAGCGCUACAGCCCGGACCCACUUGCUGAUGACCGACACGUUCGAUGUUGGGUCAUGAAUGCCUGUCCCUGUAAGUCUGUGCCACUUUGGGUUUACGACUAGUCAUGUUAGCCCGGGCUCCUUAUCAUAUGGAUGCUAGCGACACUAUCAUAUACAUGAGCCAAAAGGCGCAAACGGUCCCGGGCAAAGGUAAGGCGACACCCGUGGGAAUACCGUGCGUGAGGCCGCAAAGUGAUAUGAGGUGUUACAGGCUAGAUCGAUGUGACAUUGAGUCGGGGUCCUGACAGCGUUGGCAUCAGAGCCGGACUGCCUGUAGGUUCUCCAAGCCAAACUGGUCGAUGUUGAGUCUAGAAAUUCUUUAGUUAUAUGUAGGGGAAUUGUUUGUGGGUUGGAACGUAAGGCUCUUUUUACUCCUUUAUCUUAUGACAUUCUGAUCUGAGUCAGUCUAUUCUUCCACCGGGGGUUAAGGAAUUAGGAUUUUUUCUCUCUAUCAGGUUCACGUGUUACUAUCAGUAGUACCUUAUAGGUUUGAUGGAUACAAGCCUAGUUCAGUUCUACUAUCACAUUAUGUUGCUAAGAUGGACCCAGAACUUUGAUAUGUUGUUGUUGAGUGUGUAUGAAAUCCUUUGUCAAAUGUCUCAAAAUCCUUUUUGAGCAUUUACAGCCGUUAUGCUGUCAAAAUUUUGCUAGAAAUUCUAAUGCCUUUGCAUUAUGAUUGUGCUUUCAAAUGGCCACUCGCGACCAAAAUCAAGUGGUUCGCCUGACUCGAUGCCUAGAUGUACCCGGCCAUACUGCCAUGUUGGUCAGGGUAAUGACUGAGGCUGGAUACCGUUGGUAUCCUGAGUACACGGUCGAAGAGCAAUUUCGAGACUUUAAUCAAAGCCAGUAUAUUUGCACUGUCAGGAUAUUUCCAUCUUAUCCUGGAUCCAUCGAGCCCCUUCACUGCUCCUAUGGACUCGGGGUUACUAUUGAGAUGGCUGUGCAGGAUGCCGCCUACUCUAUGAUGACCAUCAUGCGAGUCAGGACUGGCCAAUUUCGGGACUCUGAUUUCCGGUAUAUGCCAGCAUCACUUCCGGGAGCACAAGGGUAUCUCCAGGCUAUCUAUGCUGACCCCACUCAGGAGGAUUCACGGACUCGCACCACUGCUGAGAUGCUCGAGGAUAAGGACCGUGAAAAUCGGGCCUUGAGGCUAGAGCUUUUCAAUACCCGUGCUGACCAUUGGGCCACUUUGACUCGGUUUGCACCGGCUGUGCAAGCUGGAUAUUCGGAUAUGCGCGAUCUCUAUCCUGUGAGAUCUGCUCUGCCAGACGUGAUGGGUUGGCGUGAUGUAGGAGGCAUCACCCCACCUCGUGGUCCCCGCAGGCCACCGUUUGUUGGUCCAAGACCUCAUCCUAGCCCCUAUGGUCCACAAGCUCCGCGAGAUCGUCUGUUUCCGGAUGAUCAUGUUGAGCUUCUAGGCUAUGGAGGUGACUUCUACGAGGACUACUACGGAUCGGUCUGAGUUAGUAGUAGUAUCACUAGUUCGUUCUAGAUGUGUCGUCUAUCGUCCUGCGUGACUCGUGGGAUAUGACCUAGUUUGUACCGCCUUCCGGAGGUGUAGUAAAAUAAUGUAUAGGAGCUCGGAGUGCCUCCGUUGAGAUGUAAUCUUCCUUUCACCGUAUUAGUACCUUGUUUGGUCUUGUACUAAAACUUGUAUGGUGUGUAUGUCAAUGGAAUAAAAGAAGCAGUUUCUGUAUCUACCAUGUCAUACGGAUGAUCAUCUUGCAUUCCGAGUGAUUCCUUACAUUCUGUGUUCUAUGUUGGAAUCUUAACAUUCUGACUAAAUCAUUGUCUUGUUUACCUAGGAUGGUCAACACGCGCAAUAACCCUGCUUCCCAGGAGCAGGCCGAAGGCAGUGAAGUCGGGAAUACAAACCUGCCUCACCCUCCUUCCCUAGCCGAAGUUAUGCUGGAAGCCGAGAGAAACAAGCGGGAGACCAACCGUUUGUUGGAGCGUAUUGAACAGAACACAGCACACCAUCAGAGAAAUAACUUGGUGUCACUCAGUGAUUUCAUCAAGUUACAUCCACCCACGUUCCACCACUCCGUCGAGCCUCUCAACGCUGAUGACUGGCUUCGCAGUAUUUCUCACAAACUGCGUUCUGCACUAGUAGCUGAGGCUGACAAGGUCACCUUUGCUGCAUAUCAUCUUGAAGGCCCCGCCAGUCUAUGGUGGGAGAAUUAUGGAGCUAUGCGCCCAGCAGACCAUGUCACUACUUGGGCUGAAUUCAGCGAGGCUUUCCGUGAACAUCACAUUCCGGAGGGUCUCAUGGACCGUAAACGUGAGGAAUUUUGCAGUUUCACUCAAGGCCGACUCUCUGUGGAUGCUUACAGCAGGGAGUUCGUAACCUCGCACGAUAUGCAACUGAGGAAGUUUCUACUGAUGCCAAGAAGCAAGCAAGGUUCCGUAAGGGACUUAGUCCUGAGCUUCGCCGCGACCUCCGUCUGCAUGAGUGCACAUCUUUUCAGAAGCUUGUUAACAAGGCCAUCAGUGCUGAGACUGGUCAGACUGAUUUCGACGCAACACACAAGCAUGGCCGUGACAUGGGCUCCUCAUCCGGUGCUGGUCCUCAGAAGCGCCGUGUGUGGGUGCCUAACACUGCCCUGCCACCCAGGUUCACACCGAGGCCAUCCUUCCAGGCGCCUUGCCCCGUUCAACAGUUUGUACCAGCCAAGCCCUAUGGUGGUCCAACCAACAGUGCUCCUCCACGUACCAGUUCCGUGACUUGUUUCAAGUGUGGGGAAUCGGGCCACUAUAUGCGCGAGUGUCCCCAGAACAACCCCAACCAAUCUACAAAAACUGUUGGCCGUGGCAAGCCGACAGGGAAAGUGUUCUACGCCAAGCCGGCCACCGCUGCACGUGGCCAUGUCAACUGUAUCUCUGCCGAAGAAGCUCAAGAGGAUCCCAACGUCGUUCUCGGUACGCUCCUUGUUAAUUGCCACCCGGCAUCUGUUCUUUUUGAUACAGGAGCAUCUCAUUCAUUUAUAUCCGAGAGCUAUGCUCGUCUGCAUAACACCACAUUCUGUGAGAUGCCCACCUCUAUGGUAAUUCAAACUCCGGGAUCCAAAUGGCAAACUUCUAGAGUAUGCCAUGGAAAUGAAAUUCAAGUCGACAGACUUGUUUUUCUUGCAUCUUUGAUAGCCCUCAAAUCUUCGGAUAUUAAUAUCAUCCUGGGUAUGGACUGGAUGUCAGCCCAUCAUGCCAAGGUUGAUUGCUUCUCUAGGACUGUUCAACUCACCCAUCCUUCGGGGAAGAUAGUCAAUGUCUUGACCCGAGUAGCCAAGCGACAGCUAUAUUCUCUUAACGCCAGUCCGUUGCCAGACCUUGAGGACGUUCCGGUAGUCCGUGACUUCCCGGAUGUCUUCCCAGAGGAAUUGCCAGGUGUUCCACCUGACAGGGAUGUUGAGUUCGUAAUAGAUCUCAUUCCAGGAACCGUCCCGAUUGCUAGAAGACCCUAUAAGAUGGCACCACUAGAACUAACUGAGCUUAAGAAACAACUCGAUGAGUCCUUGAAAAAGGGUUUCAUCCGACCUAGUUCAUCUCCGUGGGCUUGCCCCGUCCUCUUCAUCAAGAAGAAGGAUGGUACGGACCAGAUGGUUGUAGAUUAUCGACCUGUCAAUUUGGUCACAAUCAAGAACAAAUAUCCGCUCCCCAGGAUCAACGACCUGUAUGAUCAGCUCGCUGGAUCCUCAGUCUUCUCCAAAAUGGAUUUGAGGUUGGGCUACCAUCAAAUCAAAAUCAGAAAUGGGGACAUUCCGAAAACGGCCUUUGUUACUCGUUAUGGCCAAUAUGAGUACACCGUCAUGUCCUUCGGCUUAACCAACGCUCCAGCCACCUUUUCUCGGUUAAUGAACUCAAUCUUCAUGGAGUAUUUGGAUAAAUUCGUCGUGGUUUACCUCGAUGAUAUACUCAUCUACUCCAAGAACGAGGAAGAACAUGCCGAACAUCUAAGGCUAGUGUUGAAGAAACUUCGAGAGCAUCGCCUUUAUGCCAAGUUCUCCAAAUGCGAAUUCUGGUUGCCAGAAGCCUAUCUAGGACAUGUAAUUUCUGGUAAAGGUAUUGCUGUUAACCCUGAGCGAGUUCAAGCCGUCCUUAAUUGGACUCCAACUGAAUCGGUCAAGCAAGUUCGGAGUUUUCUGGGCUUAGCGAGCUAUUGUUGUCGCUUUGUCGAAAAUUUCUCCAAAGUUGCAAAACCUCUAACCGAACUCCUCAAGAAAGAUAAAAAGUUCGAGUGGACUCCACAAUGUGAGCACAGCUUUCAGGAACUGAAAAGACGCUUGACAUCUGCUCCCGUAUUGGUACCGCCAGAUUUCUCUAAGGACUUUGUUAUCUACUGCGACGCCUCGCGACAAGGACUAGGUUGCAUUCUCAUGCAAGAUCGACACGUAAUUGCUUAUGCUUCACGGCAAUUGCACCCACAUGAGGAGAAUUAUCCUACUCAUGAUCUAGAGCUUGCAGCUGUAGUCUAUGCACUUAAAACCUGGCGACAUUACCUCCUCGGUAAUCGUUGUGAAAUAUUCACUGAUCACCAAAGUCUGAAGUACAUCUUCACCCAACCGGAUUUGAAUCUCAGGCAAAGACGUUAGGUCGAGUUGAUUACAGAUUUCGACUUAGGAAUAACUUACACCCCAGGGAAAGCCAACGUCAUGGCUGAUGCGCUAAGUCGUAAAUCUUAUUGUAACAACCUGAUGUUACAACAAAGUCAACCACUUCUCCAUGAGGAAUUUCAGAAACUUAAUCUCCACAUUGUUCCUCAAGGAUUCCUUUCCACCUUGGUGGCGAAACCUACCCUUACGGAUCAGAUCAUCAAAGCACAGAAGGUAGAUCCGGGAAUUUCCCGCAUCAAGAGAAACAUCAAGAAAGGAGUUGCGAAUUGUUUCUCCAUUGAUGAUCAAGGGGUCGUAUACUUCGGGAAUCGGCUAGUGGUUCCCAAGGUGCGAAACCUGAGGCGAUUGAUCCUUAAGGAAGCUCAUGAAUCUCCUCUCACUAUUCAUCCCGGUAGCACUAAGAUGUAUCAGGACCUACGCCAGAGGUUCUGGUGGACUAGGAUGAAGAGAGAAAUUGCUCAGUAUAUCGCUAAUUGCGACGUCUGCCAUCGUGUAAAAGCAGAGCAUCAACGGCCUGCUGGCACCCUUCAACCCCUAGCUAUUCCAGAAUGGAAAUGGGAUAAAAUUGGUAUGGACUUCAUCACCGGUUUUCCCAGGACCAAGAGAGGGAAUAAUGCUAUCUUCGUCGUUGUCGAUCGUCUUUCCGAAGUAGCCCAUUUCUUACCUAUUCGUGAGAGUAUAACUGCUAGUCAGUUAGCAGACUUGUACAUCUCCCGAAUAGUGUCUCUCCAUGGUGUUCCUUUGGAAAUUAACUCGGAUCGAGGAAGUCUCUUCACCUCUCGAUUUUGGGAAAGUUUCCAAAAUGCUAUGGGAACCCGCCUUUCUUUUAGUACCGCUUUCCACCCUCAAUCAAGUGGUCAAGUGGAACGCGUCAACCAGAUUCUAGAAGACAUGCUUCGAGCUUCUGUUAUCUCAUUCGGAAUGGAGUGGGAGAAAUGCCUUCCAUUUGCCGAAUUUGCUUAUAACAACAGCUAUCAAUCCAGUUUGGGCAAAGCCCCUUUUGAAGUUCUCUAUGGACGACGGUGUCGAACACCCCUUAAUUGGUCAGAAACCGGGGAAAGACAAUUCUUUGGCCCGGAUAUGAUUCAGGAAGCAGAAGAGCAAGUUCGCAUCGUUCGUGAAAAGUUGAAAACAGCCCAAUCUCGUCAAAAGAGUCAAUAUGACCGAAAACAUAAGGCUAUGACUUUCGAGGUUGACGAGAAGGCUUACCUUCGGGUUACUCCUCUGAAGAGAACUCAUCGUUUCGGUAUCAAAGGCAAAUUGGCUCCUCGUUACAUUGGACCUUUUCGUAUUCUCGCUAAACGAGGAGAAGUUGCCUACCAAUUGGAACUACCUCCGCAUCUCUCCAGAGUCCAUGAUGUCUUCCACGUUUCUCAACUCAGGCGUUGCUUCUCGGAUCCUAUCCGUGGAGUGGACCACGAAACGCUUGAUCUCCAAGAUAAUCUCACGUAUCGAGAGUACCCCGUUCGUAUCCUCGAUCAAGCCGAGCGUACCACUCGACGUCAUAAUAUCAAGUUUCUCAAAGUUCAAUGGUCGCACCAUUCUGAGGAUGAAGCAACUUGGGAAAGGGAGGAUCGUCUUCGACUUGAGUACCCCGCCUUCUUUCCGGAGGAACCUAAAUCUCGGGAUGAGAUUCUUUUGAGUGGGGGUGAGUUGUCACAUCCUAGCUAGUCCAUGCAUUAGUGUGUGCAUCAUGUUUAAAUUUCAUUUGAAUUUGAAAUGGGGAAGGACAGAACCCCCAGCCCCCUCUGAAACCAACUAGGGUUUACUAAAAACUUUUUCAAUGAACCUGAAAUGCCCUUCUAAAAUGCCCAUCAUUUUUGUCUUGGUUCAGAACCUCUGCCAGAAGUGAUGCACAUUUUCCUAGGUCAUCCUAAGGUCUUUGGAUUAAAUCAUAAAUAUUUGAAUUUGGGCAUUUUAAAUUUAUAAAAUAUUUCAAAUGCUCAAAUAUCUCCAAACUAAAAUGUUUCAUGUUGGAAAUAAUCCAACUAUGGACCAGGAGUAUUUUGGUGAUUUUAGGAGUGGCCUAGGUAUUUUUAAUAAUUCAACAAACUUACAGAAUAAAUAAAAAAAUAGAAAACAGGGAAUAACAGAAAACUUACCUAGCGCCCAGCACCCGACCCACCUGCCGGCCCAGCACAGCGCCGCGCCAGCGAGCUGCUUGCCGGCCAGGCAGGCAGGCAGGUGCCCGACGGCGGCCGCAGCGUGCGCCACGCAGCUGGCCGUCGCCCUGCUUCACCUCCUCGCCUCGUUGCUGGUUGGAUGAACUCCACGUCGAGCCGUGAACCCCCAGGACACCUCCAUUCUCCCCCAACUCCUCUCUCUCGCGUUCCCUCGCCAUGGCCGACGUCAUCGCCGCCACCCCCUCGCCGUAGCCACGCCCUCCGUCAACCCAACGCCGCGCCACCGUGUCUAGGAGCUCCGCCACCCUCCUCUCCUUCGAGCAAGCCGAGCCCCGAGCACUCGCAAGGCCCGAGUCCACCGCAUCGACCUCGACCGAACCGCCGUCGCCGGAGAUCCCCUUCAACGCCGUCGUCGCUCCGGCCCGUCCCCGGCCGCACCAAGUGUUUCGUCGAACUCCCUGUGAGCUUAACCAUCUUCCCCUCACUCCUUUUCUUGCCCCCGAGCUAUGUAGUGACCUCCCGGAGCUCAACCGCACCCACCGCCGCGGAGCUCGUCGCCGACGUGCUCCCGGUCACCCUCCGGCCACCACUUGGUGUCCAUCGUGCUCACCACGUCACGUAGCACCUAGCCAACUACUCCCCGCACCUCACCGACCCCUCUAGCCUCAAGUUCGUCUUCGGCCGAACUCCGGUGGCCGCCAAAGUCGCCGCCGGCGCCAACUCCGGCCACCCCGACCCCAACGGACUCCACCAAGAGCUGUGGCUCGUCCUCAGCUCCACUCCGAUGGCCUCCGCGACCCAUUUAGUGGCCGGAACGGCCAAACUCACUUCCGCCGCCGCGUCGGGCUCGCCGGCGGCUAAACGCCGGUGCAGCCGACGUUGACUUCGACCACGGUGGGCCCUGGUUGACUCCGAUGAGUCAAUGACAGGUGGGGCCCAGCCCUGUUAACUAAAUAGGUUUAGUUUUAAUUAAACUUUAGUUAAACUAAUUACCCUGACACCCUGGACCCACAGUCAGGUUUGACCUGGACGUCUCCGUUGACCCUGACGUCAUUCUGACGCAUGGCUGACGCAAUAAAUUAAUUUCUGGAUUUAUUCUAAUAUAGGAAAUUCCAGAAUAUAGUUUAAACUUCAAAAAUUCAUAACUUUUAAUCUGUAACUCCAAAUCAAACAAGUUAUAUAUGAAAAAUGAUCAGAAAAAUCCAAUCUAUCCAUCUGUACUAGUUUCAUGCAUGUUUAAGCAAGCUAACCUGAUGUUUAGUGCAGAACAAGAUAAAACACUUUAAAGGGCCAUGUAUGAGUUUGAAAUUUGAAUCUUUGGUUCAAAUUGGUUCAAACCCUUCUGGUCUUAGUUGCAUUAGCCCAACACACUCAUAUUGCCAUGUUUCAUGCAUGCAUCAUAUUGUCGCAUAUUGUUUGGUGAUGGCUGUGUAUCGGUGUUCUUUGCGGCAGGUUCUGCCUCCGAGGAGUACCGUGAUUACCCUAGCGAAGAGCCGUAUCCGUGCAUCGAUCCAUCAGGAAAGCAACCAACCAGUUGAUCAUAUCGAUACAAUCCCAUGUUCUCGCUUCUGCUCUCUUUUACUGCAUUAAGACAACGCGUUUCAAACUGCUGUGUGCUACGGUAGUUGAACCCAUUUCCUCUGCAUGACCUGUCAUUGCCACAGUAACUAGAUGAAACCCACUAGCAUGUGUAGGAGUUGUUUGAGCCAUAUGUAUGUGUUGUUCCUACCUUGCUAUGCCUGCUAUGAUUAGAGUCGUGUCAGGUCUGGUUCAUCUGGGUGAUGGGCUAGAGUGAAAUGUUCAUGUCAGUAUGGGAGUGGUAUGUUGAACACGAUUUGGUAAAGGUAUCGAUGAGAGGCCAUGUAGGAGUACAUGAUGGGUUGUUUCAUUGAAGCCGUCCUUAAGCACUGAGAUCUGUAUGUGUGAUUUAAGAUUCAGCUACUACCAUGCAUUGGGCCCGAAACCAAUGGACCCUCUCGGCUUCUUAUUGACCCUAGUUCUCUGUCCAGGAGUUGCAAGUAGUUUCUGGUGUUUGUAGCCUACUGGAGGCCGUGGACAGCGCUGACCGUAGGGGUGGGCUGUGAUGCGGUAGGUACGUGGCACUGUGUACCGGAUACCCGUUAGGUAUCUCGGGAACCCUGUACACAUCGUUCGGGGCCGUAUGGGAAACCUCGGCCGGACUCCCUGCGGAUGGAACCUGGAUAGGCGAUAAACCUGGAUUAGAGACUUAGGUGAUUAGGUAGGUCGUGGCCGACACCCACGUUGGGCUUCCGCUUGAACGUUGCCGAGUACAUGUCGUGUAAAUGACGGUAAGUGGUGAGAGCGUGUAUGAAGAAGUACACACCUGCAGGGUUAACAUGAUCUAUUCGAAUAGCCGCGUCCGCGGUAAAGGACUACUUGGUUGCCUAUACAGUUCAUAGACAAGUAAAUGGAAACUACUAAAAGCCUCAAGAUAAGUGUGAGUGCCGAGGAUGGCUCUUCCGUAGGAAGACGGAGGUGGAUCCUCGGUAGUGUAUUGAAGUGGUGAGUAGUGGACUCGUGUGCGCAAAACCAUUUCAAGUUGGAGUCUCGUAGGAUAGCCUAGCCAAGAGUCAAAGCUGGCUUGCUGCAAUAACUCCACCAACCCUUCUUGAUAAUGUGCAUGUAUGUAGGGUCUGAUGUAAGUCUUGCUGAGUACCUUUGUACUCAUGUUGCUAUAAUUUACAUUUUUACAGAAGAUGCUGCAACCCCUUCUGAUGGGGUUCUUCGUAGAUGUUGACAUCAAUGAGUAGGCUAAGGCCCAGGUGGUGAUCCUGAGCUUGUGAAGGACCACGUAGUAUAGUUAGGCUUUCCAAGCCUCUUUUAUUUUACUAGUUGUCUGUACUCAGACAAGUUACUUCCGCUGCUGGUUUGUAUGACUGUAUGACUUGAAUGCUGGGUCGUGUGACCCGUACUUAUGUGUAUGUUAUGUAUGGCUCUCUGAGCCUUAAAUAAAGUACUUGUGUCGUAGAGUCAUGUUGUGAUGCCUUGUUGUAUUUGCACAUAUCGAGCAUAUUGUGUGUAUGAUUGAAAUGCUUGGUAUGUGUGGGAUCUGACUAUCUAGUUGUUUAUCUUUAGUAGCCUCUCUUACCGGGAAAUGUCUCCUAGUGUUACCACUGAGCCAUGGUAGCUUGCUACUGCUCCGGAACACUUAGGCUGGCCGGCAUGUGUCCUUCUUCGUUCCUGUGUCUGUCCCUUUGGGGAAAUGUCACACAUUGAGUACCGGAGUCCUGCUAGCCCAGCGCUACAGCCCGGACCCACUUGCUGAUGACCGACACGUUCGAUGUUGGGUCAUGAAUGCCUGUCCCUGUAAGUCUGUGCCACUUUGGGUUUACGACUAGUCAUGUCAGCCCGGGCUCCUUAUCAUAUGGAUGCUAGCGACACUAUCAUAUACGUGAGCCAAAAGGCGCAAACGGUCCCGGGCAAAGGUAAGGCGACACCCGUGGGAAUACCGUGCGUGAGGCCGCAAAGUGAUAUGAGGUGUUACAGGCUAGAUCGAUGUGACAUUGAGUCGGGGUCCUGACAACCUUGCAUGAUGAUGCAGUAACAGUGCAAGAGUUGCUAAGGAUCUACAAAUGUUGCUAAGAAUGAGAAAUGCAAUGGUUUAUUUGUAGGAUCAUACACUGAGAAUAUUAUCAUGGUUUCAGUAAAAAUACAGGCAAAAGUUACACUUGAUUCGAAUUUAGAACUGAUUCUCGAUCAUCAUCCAUAGGGUACCCCUCGAAGUAAUAUCACCAAAAUACAUGGCCUUAUAGAAGUCGUCAAUAAUCGAUGAGUAGAGUAAAACAAUGCAUUUUUGUGUAAACAUGCUGAAAACCAUACUCGUAAUUCCAAGCAUUUGAUCUCAUAAAGAUACACUUAGUAAGUUGAAAUGGGUUCAUUACUUUCUCUUGGUAAACAAAUAUUAUAUCCUAAUAAACAGAUAGUUUGCCUUCAUCGCCUAGAACCGAGUCACAAAUAGCAGAGCAGUUGUGAACAGUAUUCCCUAAUGGUAAGAUUUUUGUACAAAAGGAAUAACCGCACGGAUAAUGGAUGGUGAGAAAAGGUUACCAUAUAUAAGAACAUGAUUGAGUGAUCAUCUGUCGACAAUUCUAUUUAAAAAAGGAAGGAACCAUAGCCGAUGUAACCUGAAUACAAUAAAUAGCAUGUCACUUCACAAAACAUGCGAGAAAAAUAAGCAAACAACAUGCUUCUUUGCACAUAAGCAUUAUGUUUGAAUUAAAAGGAGAUGAUGAUUAAGGGCCUGCCAUCACAAUGAAAUACCAGUGAAGAGUGAAGACAAAUUGACUUGUUUUUUCUUUGAUAUAUGAAGGAUGGGAAGAAGUCGUAAUGGUCAAAUACCGGUUAACAAUUUUGUAUAGUGCAAUAAUUCAUUUUCCUCCCGUCCUUCAAUAAGGUCCCACAACGGAUUGCCAUUGCAGAAUUGUCCUCUAAAUUUAGGGUAUU